GGGAUAAGCCAUGCGAGUCAACAUAGCAAUAUGUGGCAUACGGCUCAGUAACACGUAGUCAACAUGCCCAGGGGACGUGGAUAACCUCGGGAAACUGAGGAUAAACCGCGAUAGGUCAUCACUUCUGGAAUGGGUAAUGACUUAAACCAAUAUGGCCCCUGGAUUGGACUGCGGCCGAUCAGGCUGUUGGUGAGGUAAUGGCCCACCAAACCUGUAACCGGUACGGGCUCUGAGAGGAGGAGCCCGGAGAUGGGCACUGAGACAAGGGCCCAGGCCCUAUGGGGCGCAGCAGGCGCGAAACCUCUGCAAUAGGCGAAAGCUUGACAGGGUUACUCUGAGUGAUUUCCGUUAAGGAGAUCUUUUGGCACCUCUAAAAAUGGUGCAGAAUAAGGGGUGGGCAAGUCUGGUGUCAGCCGCCGCGGUAAUACCAGCACCCCGAGUGGUCGGGACGUUUAUUGGGCCUAAAGCAUCCGUAGCCGGUUCUACAAGUCUUCCGUUAAAUCCACCUGCUUAACAGAUGGGCCGCGGAAGAUACUAUAGAGCUAGGAGGCGGGAGAGGCAAGCGGUACUCGAUGGGUAGGGGUAAAAUCCGUUGAUCCAUUGAAGACCACCAGUGGCGAAGGCGGCUUGCCAGAACGCGCUCGACGGUGAGGGAUGAAAGCUGGGGGAGCAAACCGGAUUAGAUACCCGGGUAGUCCCAGCUGUAGACGAUGCAGACUCGGUGAUGAGUUGGCUUAUUGCUAACUCAGUGCCGCAGGGAAGCCGUUAAGUUUGCCGCCUGGGGAGUACGGUCGCAAGACUGAAACUUAAAGGAAUUGGCGGGGGAGCACCACAAGGGGUGAAGCCUGCGGUUCAAUUGGAGUCAACGCCGGAAAUCUUACCGGGGGCGACAGCAGAGUGAAGGUCAAGCUGAAGACUUUACCAGACAAGCUGAGAGG
This 938-nucleotide ribosomal RNA is filed under the name uncultured archaeon. RNAcentral describes it as "bacterial SSU rRNA". It matches the Rfam family "Archaeal small subunit ribosomal RNA", at positions 41 to 987 of the family's 1478-position model. The record is from RNAcentral.